GUAAUAUUUGUUUUCCUAAAUAGUAUUGCUGGUGCACUAUGUUACAGGAAAAAAAAUAUUACAAGCUCUCGAUGAUAUUGAUUGCAAUUUUCGAAUCUACAACACUAACAUAACUGCUCCAGAUAGCUCCUCAUAAAAAGUCUUCCCGACUUAAGGGAUUAACGAAAAUUCUACAAAACUGAAGUGCUAAUGCAACCAUGAAUCACGACAAAAAUUAUCCACUAGCUAAACCUUGUUAAGAUCCCCAUUUCACUUUAGUUAUUGCUUUGAAUACGAAGUCGAUCUAUGCAGCCACUGGUUGCUUCUGAGCAAAUGCAAUACCCUUCUCAAUGCUGGCCUUAAGUUCGGGCUUGAGAGCCUCCAGUGCCUUCUUCUCAUACUCGCUCAACCCUUGGAGAUCAGAUGAAAUGAUAGCUUCAACCCCAUU
RNAcentral lists this unclassified non-coding RNA (427 nucleotides) under Hevea brasiliensis (rubber tree). The record is from RNAcentral. Lineage: Eukaryota; Viridiplantae; Streptophyta; Magnoliopsida; Malpighiales; Euphorbiaceae.